RNAcentral lists this ribosomal RNA (1258 nucleotides) under Enterococcus sp. AA-T02. Its description in RNAcentral is "bacterial SSU rRNA". It matches the Rfam family "Bacterial small subunit ribosomal RNA", at positions 122 to 1374 of the family's 1533-position model. Lineage: Bacteria; Bacillati; Bacillota; Bacilli; Lactobacillales; Enterococcaceae. The record is from RNAcentral.
UAACCUGCCCAUCAGAAGGGGAUAACACUUGGAAACAGGUGCUAAUACCGUAUAACACUAUUUUCCGCAUGGAAGAAAGUUGAAAGGCGCUUUUGCGUCACUGAUGGAUGGACCCGCGGUGCAUUAGCUAGUUGGUGAGGUAACGGCUCACCAAGGCAACGAUGCAUAGCCGACCUGAGAGGGUGAUCGGCCACACUGGGACUGAGACACGGCCCAGACUCCUACGGGAGGCAGCAGUAGGGAAUCUUCGGCAAUGGACGAAAGUCUGACCGAGCAACGCCGCGUGAGUGAAGAAGGUUUUCGGAUCGUAAAACUCUGUUGUUAGAGAAGAACAAGGAUGAGAGUAAAAUGUUCAUCCCUUGACGGUAUCUAACCAGAAAGCCACGGCUAACUACGUGCCAGCAGCCGCGGUAAUACGUAGGUGGCAAGCGUUGUCCGGAUUUAUUGGGCGUAAAGCGAGCGCAGGCGGUUUCUUAAGUCUGAUGUGAAAGCCCCCGGCUCAACCGGGGAGGGUCAUUGGAAACUGGGAGACUUGAGUGCAGAAGAGGAGAGUGGAAUUCCAUGUGUAGCGGUGAAAUGCGUAGAUAUAUGGAGGAACACCAGUGGCGAAGGCGGCUCUCUGGUCUGUAGCUGAGGCUCGAAAGCGUGGGGAGCGAACAGGAUUAGAUACCCUGGUAGUCCACGCCGUAAACGAUGAGUGCUAAGUGUUGGAGGGUUUCCGCCCUUCAGUGCUGCAGCAAACGCAUUAAGCACUCCGCCUGGGGAGUACGACCGCAAGGUUGAAACUCAAAGGAAUUGACGGGGGCCCGCACAAGCGGUGGAGCAUGUGGUUUAAUUCGAAGCAACGCGAAGAACCUUACCAGGUCUUGACAUCCUUUGACCACUCUAGAGAUAGAGCUUCCCCUUCGGGGGCAAAGUGACAGGUGGUGCAUGGUUGUCGUCAGCUCGUGUCGUGAGAUGUUGGGUUAAGUCCCGCAACGAGCGCAACCCUUAUUGUUAGUUGCCAUCAUUUAGUUGGGCACUCUAGCGAGACUGCCGGUGACAAACCGGAGGAAGGUGGGGAUGACGUCAAAUCAUCAUGCCCCUUAUGACCUGGGCUACACACGUGCUACAAUGGGAAGUACAACGAGUUGCGAAGUCGCGAGGCUAAGCUAAUCUCUUAAAGCUUCUCUCAGUUCGGAUUGUAGGCUGCAACUCGCCUACAUGAAGCCGGAAUCGCUAGUAAUCGCGGAUCAGCACGGCGCGGUGAAUACGUUCC